CUGCCCUCAAGCUCAGCUUGUGUGUUGGGUCCUCGUCCUCCCAUCCCGGGGGGACGGGCCCGAAAGGCAGCGGCGGCACCGCGUCCGGUCCUCGAGCGUAUGGGGCUUUGUCACCCGCUCUGUAGGAACGGCCGGCGCCAGCCGACGCAAAUCACCUUUUUUCUCA
RNAcentral lists this unclassified non-coding RNA (166 nucleotides) under uncultured Aspergillus. RNAcentral describes it as "sequence contains ITS2". Lineage: Eukaryota; Fungi; Ascomycota; Eurotiomycetes; Eurotiales; Aspergillaceae. The record is from RNAcentral.